Molecule: ribosomal RNA, 242 nt
Filed under: uncultured bacterium
Lineage: Bacteria
Description: partial 16S ribosomal RNA
Rfam family: Bacterial small subunit ribosomal RNA
Source: RNAcentral
UGGGUAACCUGCCUCAAAGAGGGGAAUAGCCUCCCGAGAGGGAGAUUAAUACCGCAUAAUAUGUUUUAGUCGCAUGACUUAAACAUCAAAGGAUUUUCUUUUAGAACUUCCACUUUGAGAUGGACCCGCGGCGCAUUAGUUAGUUGGUGAGGUAACGGCUCACCAAGGCAACGAUGCGUAGCCGACCUGAGAGGGUGAUCGGCCACAUUGGAACUGAGACACGGUCCAGACUCCGUAGGAGG